CUACGGGGUGCUCCAGUAGGGAAUCUUCCGCAAUGGGCGAAAGCCUGACGGAGCAACGCCGCGUGAGUGAUGAAGGUCUUCGGAUCGUAAAACUCUGUUAUCAGGGAAGAACAAAUGUGUAAGUAACUGUGCACAUCUUGACGGUACCUGAUCAGAAAGCCACGGCUAACUACGUGCCAGCAGCCGCGGUAAUACGUAGGUGGCAAGCGUUAUCCGGAAUUAUUGGGCGUAAAGCGCGCGUAGGCGGUUUUUUAAGUCUGAUGUGAAAGCCCACGGCUCAACCGUGGAGGGUCAUUGGAAACUGGAAAACUUGAGUGCAGAAGAGGAAAGUGGAAUUCCAUGUGUAGCGGUGAAAUGCGCAGAGAUAUGGAGGAACACCAGUGGCGAAGGCGACUUUCUGGUCUGUAACUGACGCUGAUGUGCGAAAGCGUGGGGAUCAAACAGGAUUAGAUACCCUUGUAGUC
Molecule: ribosomal RNA, 464 nt
Filed under: uncultured bacterium
Lineage: Bacteria
Description: partial 16S ribosomal RNA
Rfam family: Bacterial small subunit ribosomal RNA
Source: RNAcentral